AGAGUUUGAUCAUGGCUCAGAACGAACGCUAGCGGCGUGCCUAACACAUGCAAGUCGUACGAGAAAUCCUGGGCAACUGGGAGAGUAAAGUGGCGCACGGGUGAGUAACGCGUGGGUAAUCUGCCUUGGAGUUCGGAAUAACACCUCGAAAGGGGUGCUAAUACCGGAUAUUGUCUUCGAAGCUUCGGCUUUGGAGAUGAAAGAUGGCUGAGGCUUGCAAGCUAUUGCUCCAAGAUGAGCCCGCGUACCAUUAGCUUGUUGGUGGGGUAACGGCCCACCAAGGCAAUGAUGGUUAGCUGGUCUGAGAGGAUGGCCAGCCACACUGGAACUGAGACACGGUCCAGACUCCUACGGGAGGCAGCAGUGAGGAAUCUUGCGCAAUGGGGGCAACCCUGACGCAGCAACGCCGCGUGAGUGAUGAAGGCCUUCGGGUCGUAAAGCUCUGUCAGGCGGAAAGAAAGUCUUCAGGAUGAACAAUUCUGGAGAUUGACGGUACCGCCAGAGGAAGCACCGGCUAACUCCGUGCCAGCAGCCGCGGUAAUACGGAGGGUGCUAGCGUUGUUCGGAAUUAUUGGGCGUAAAGAGCGUGUAGGCGGCCUCGUAAGUCAGAUG
This 612-nucleotide ribosomal RNA is filed under the name uncultured delta proteobacterium. Its description in RNAcentral is "bacterial SSU rRNA". It matches the Rfam family "Bacterial small subunit ribosomal RNA", at positions 8 to 594 of the family's 1533-position model. Lineage: Bacteria; Deltaproteobacteria. The record is from RNAcentral.